RNAcentral lists this long non-coding RNA (2345 nucleotides) under Dermacentor andersoni. RNAcentral's name for it is "uncharacterized LOC126545946". Lineage: Eukaryota; Metazoa; Arthropoda; Arachnida; Ixodida; Ixodidae. The record is from RNAcentral.
CUUCCUCCCUCUCCCUUUUGUGCAGAAGGAAUCGUCAGCUCUCGCGUUACUCAGAGUUAUUUACCAAUGUGACAAAUGGGUGACAAAUGGUGCAGCGGUGUUUGCUGCCUACCGUGUCCCAGUGCGCGUGCUGUGACAGUGGUUUUGCCAGUCAAACUUUUCAUGCAGAAAGAUGUUUGAAAUAACUUUGCCUCAGGCGACAUGAUUGAAAUGGUAAAAAAAUUUAAAUCGAAACUGUGUCACAAAAUUACUUUGUUAAAUUGCGAAAAAUAAGUACCAUAUUUUCCGGUGUAUAACUCGCAGUUCUUUCUAAAUUUUUCAUUGGUGCGUCUUAUAGAAUGGUGUGACUUAUAGAAGUUUUUUUUUUUUCGAAAAAAUACUGCCAUCAAAGUCGGAUUGGAUGCUAUGACCACGUGAAGCACGCUUGGUUGACCUCCUCUGGCAGUUGCUACAGGUUGUGUGCUUGCUAUGGAGGUGCCGGGUUCUUCUCGUGAUCGAGUUGCCGUGCGCCAUACGAGAAGGACUGAGCAGCAAUGCAAGCAGCAAUAGGCAGACCACAAGUCAACUGACUCCAAUGUCGUGGCAUCUGCAGAUCGCUUUCAAGAUAACACACCACAUCGCUGCGCAGGCUACGCAGUUGCUAACAGAGUACAAGCCGCCCCCGCUCCCUCCCGCGCUGCCUUCCCGCUUUCCUGCGGGAUGAUUCGGCUCACCAUCGCACACUUUCACUUGCACAUACAGCAUAUGGCACAUAGGGCCGAUGUUAUUGCCCUUGGACUUUAUAUGGAACAUCGCAGUGACCACGAUGACAGAAAUGUGCCUGGAGUGUCCAUAUCAUUGAUUGCGCGUGACCUGCGCUCAUGAAGUGAAACAAACGUCACUGUAUUUUUUAAAAUCGCUUAUCGAAUGAACAGGUGCGUCUUAUAUAUACACAGGUGCGACUUAUAUACGUUUUCUUUCAGAAAAACUGCUGUAUUGAGUAGGGUGCAACUUAUAGACCGGAAAAUACAGUACAGUUUUCAAUGCAACUAAGAUGGAAUAGUGAAAUGCACACUUUCCAAUGGAAAGACAUGUAAAGGAAAAUAAAACUUGACGUUUCGGGUCCCGUACUUAUCUCAUAUUUAAACAAGAGCCACUGUUUGCUUUGUGAUCUAGGGUCCCGUACGGGACCUGAAACAUAGUUUUAUUUUUCUUUACACAUCUUUCCAUUGGCGAGUGUUAGUUUUAUUUCACUAUGCUCAUUCCUCGCCAGACGGGUUUCCGUCGAACUCUGGAUUAUAUUAAACUAAGAUGGAAAAUUAAAAUAGCUUGUUACAUUGCAAAUUUCGUUAAAUCAAGGUUCAUUAUAUUGAGGUUUGACUGUAUAUAUCCCUAAAUAAUCAUCUCGGUAAAACAGACUUUAUAACCUCAUUGAUCAGCUUCCAGAAUCCUACAUACUUGAGGGUGAGUUUAAUGCUCACAACACUUUGUGGGGAGACUGGCAAUGUGACGCGAGACGAGAGCAAGCUGGGAGAGGUUUCUUUUGGGAAUCACUUCCUAUACCGAAGAAACGCAAGUGGGGAAUGCGCUCAGAAGGUUAAAAGGACAGCAACCGCAUCCGCUGCCCUUGCUAAAUAAACAAGGAAACAGGUUGGAAGACCAGGCAGACGCUCUUUGUAAACAUUUUGAGUAUGUAUCUAGCUCUGCGCACUAUUCACAGACAUUCCUUAAAUACAAAGAAAUAGACACUGGACCAGAAAUGCAGAGGAAACAAUCUUUAUAACUGUCCAUUCAACAUUGCCGAGCUUAGAGCAGCAUUGAACGUCUGCAAAAGCUCUGCGCUGACAGCAGGUAGGACCAUGUAUGACAUGAUCAAGAACAUGCAUACAGACAAAUUACAUUGCUUGCACUUAACAUUUGGGCAGCCGGACACCUUUCAGCAACAUGCGAAAAGCUAUUGUUAUCCCAAUUUUGAAGCAGGCUAAAGACCCAUCCUUGGUAACAAGCUACCGUCCACUAGUGCUUACAAGCUGCUACUUGUGCCCCCAUCCCACCACUACUCUAACACACAUCCUUAUGGAGUGCCCGGCUGAUCCUCCCCUGCGGGCUCGGAGCUCUUCACAUGGGAGGAAUGGGAGGCCACACUGCACACUAUGGACCCGCACCGGCAGAGGACCGCCACUACGUGGGCUGCAGAUGUGCUGCAGUGACAUGAACUAGCGGAUAUCUAAGUGCAGUGGGGCUGUGCCUGGCCCGGGCUUGCAGCCUACACCAGUGGACAUUAAAGUUUCGUCUCUCUCUCUCUGCCUAUGUAAGCUUUUCGAAAAAAUGAUAAAUCGCAGUCUUUUGCAUUUCCCAGACUCAAA